This is a non-coding RNA of Salmo salar (Atlantic salmon), 58 nucleotides long. The record is from Rfam. NCBI's taxonomy places the organism in Eukaryota, Metazoa, Chordata, Actinopteri, Salmoniformes, Salmonidae.
UAGCUCAGUUGGUAGAGCAUGGUGUUUGCAACACCAGAGUUGUGGGUUCGAUUCCCAC